CACCCCACUAAACCAAAAACAAAGUGUUUUCCCCCCUCUUUCACCCCCUCCCUGCACGAAGCUUGUGGAGGUGGAGCCAGCACAGCACAGCAAUGCUACCACUCUCCUGCGCGCCACCGCUACCGCCGCCGCAGUCGCGCCCGAACCCCAGCCCUAGCCACAAGCCCAAGCCCCAUCCGUGCGUGCUUCUCUUCCCUGCCGCCCUCCGCACGGCGGCCGCGGCGGCCACCAUCUCCUUCUCCCUCCUCGCCGGCAACGCGGCGGCUGUGGCGGCGGUGGAGCAGCCCUCGGAGAUAUGCCGCGGCCAGGACGACGGGAGGGAGGUAGAGGUGAAGGCCGAGGCGGUGACGAACGAGCAGCUCGUGGAGGAGGCGUGGGAGGUGGUCAACGAGGGCUUCCUCCCCGACGCCGGCAGCCGCCCGUGGUCACCGGAGCUGUGGAUGCAACGGAAGCAAGAUAUUCUUCAAGGUUCAAUCAAAUCCCGCUCUAGAGCCCACGACAUCAUCACGAAAAUGCUAGCUAGCCUGGGUGAUCCAUAUACAAGAUUCCUGUCGUCCUCAGAUUUCUCGAAGAUGUCGAAGUAUGACAUGACGGGGAUUGGGUUGAACUUAAGAGAGAUUCCUGAUGACAAUGGUUCUUUAAGGUUGGUGGUAUUAGGAUUGAUACUAGAUGGGCCUGCUCACUCUGCUGGUGUUAGACAGGGUGAUGAGCUUUUGUCUGUCAAUGGUAUCGAUAUAAGAGGUAAAUCUGCAUUUGACGUGUCGUCCAUGCUGCAAGGCCCAAAGGAAACUUUCGUUACAAUUAAGGUUAAGCAUGACAGCUGUGGUCCUGUUGAGUCAAUGAAAGUGCAAAGACAGAUGGCUGCUCGUACUCCAAUUUUCUAUCGUUUGGAGAAAAGAGACAAUGAGAAUUCAUCUGUUGGAUAUAUUCACAUUAAAGAAUUUAAUGCAGUGGCCAAAAAAGAUUUGGUCAGCGCAUUGAAACGUCUACAAAAUUCAGGUGCCUCCUAUUUUGUUUUGGACCUGAGGGACAAUCUUGGUGGACUAGUGCAAGCUGGAAUAGAGAUUGCAAAGCUCUUCUUGAACAAAGGAGACACGGUCAUUUAUACUACUGGCCGGGAUCGUCAAGUCCAAAAUACAAUUGUUGCUGACAGUGGACCUUUGGUUACAACUCCUGUGAUGGUACUGGUGAAUAAUAGGACAGCAAGUGCCAGCGAAAUAGUUGCUUCAGCACUUCAUGACAAUUGCAAAGCUGUUCUUGUCGGUGAAAGGACUUUUGGCAAGGGCUUAAUCCAAUCAGUAUUUGAACUUCAUGAUGGUUCUGGUAUUGUCGUCACAGUUGGCAAAUAUGUCACGCCAAAUCACAAAGACAUCAAUGGAGAUGGAAUAGAACCAGACUACCGCCGUCUUCCUGAUCUCAAUGAAGCCAGAGAUUACCUUUCGCGUUGCCAAAGCAAGAAAUUAAGUUGAGGUGAAGUGCUUUAUUACAAAGCUUCUUACACAAUAAUUGCCCGUGCGUUGCAAUGGGAGUAUAAACAUUCUAGCCCGUGACAGCACGUCUACUAUUACAUUGAUGCGCUAAAAUCUUAGAAAAGUCAAUGGGAGAAAAAUCAGAGAUGGGAGGAAAAAAUCAAGAAGGGAAGAGGGGGGCGUGUAUAUAACGAAGGCAACACGUUAGAAGUAUGGAACGGAGCGUUAUGCCCGGGAGAAUUGUACAGCGAAGAAUGAACUCUCCCUGGUGAGGUGAGACCACAAGCUCGACAUUGAAGCCUCAAUUCAAUAUAGGCAUCUGCAGAGAUCAGAGUCAGCAUGUCCUUGGAUUCACACCGGUUCCGCAGCUCGGUAGAGAAAGGAGAGAGCCCUUGGAUUGCAUUGGCUUCUGCUGAAUAUACCCAGCACCAGACACCAUCUUAGAGCAACGCUAGCAGAUGCAGAUCCCCCAAAAAGGCAGCCUCUAAAAUCGUUUUGGAGUGCACUCUAAAUUUUACAGGACACAUUUGAAGGAUAGAGAAACAAAAGACUAGUCCUAUGCGCUGUGGCAGUCUUGGACAGACGCAUCAGGCAUCGCAACAAGACUCUGGUUGGGCGGUACCUCUGGACAAAUACAUUUCCAUGUCACAAUCUUCUUUGCCUUGAGGACAAGGCGCAACUCAAGAUGAUGAUAGUCUAUCCUGUCUCAAGCUGAUCUGAACAGACUCACUGCUACCUGAAGAAACACAACACUAGCACUGAGUGGAGCAAAAUGCUCCAGAGAAUGAGUGACUGAGAUGAGCCAAGGCGACUUAAGUGAAAGAUGUGCGGCUUUACAUUCUUUUGCUGACACCCUUUUCCCGGAACAUCAACGUUUACUUCUACCUAUGCAGGCUCGUUUUGGCACAUGGGAGCAUAUGCUCCUGGUUUUUAAAAUAUGUUUUAAACAUAUUUUAAAAUGUCACAAAAUUCUGUCAAAAUGAUGCCCGACUAUCUUUGGACAUUCUACGUGCACAAAAACUCGUUUUGCGGAAAACUGGCAACUUUUGUGUCACAUGUAAAAAAGACAAAAUGUAGUGUUAAAAAAGGCUUUUCACGAGACAUUAUUUUGUCUUUUUUACACAAGGCGUAUAAAAUGUCGGUUUCUCAUGAAAUUUGGCGUGUGCACAUACAAUGUUGAGAUGUACGUGUCAAAUUUGUGUUUGGAAAUUUUUGUCAUUUUAAAAUAUAUUUUUCAAUGGCAGGAGCAUAUGCUUCUAUGUGCCAAAGUGAAUUUC
This is an RNA transcript of Aegilops tauschii subsp. strangulata, 2746 nucleotides long. It is a transcript of the gene named carboxyl-terminal-processing peptidase 1, chloroplastic, with no coding region annotated. NCBI's taxonomy places the organism in Eukaryota, Viridiplantae, Streptophyta, Magnoliopsida, Poales, Poaceae. The record is from RefSeq and is a predicted model, not a curated record.